AUUGAACGCUGGCGGCAGGCUUUACACAUGCAAGUCGGGCGAGUGGCGGACGGGUGAGUAACGUAUCGGGACCUGCCUAGUGGUGGGGGAUAACUGCUCGAAACGGUAGCUAAUACCGCAUACCAUUCGAUCAGCCCAUAUCUGAUUAGCUGGUUGGUGGGGUAAAGGCCCACCAGGGCGACGAUCAGUAGCGGGUCUGAGAGGAUGAUCAGCCACACUGGGACUGAGACACGGCCCAGACUCCUACGGGAGGCAGCAGUGGGGAAUAUUGCACAAUGGGCGCAAGCCUGAUGCAGCCAUGCCGCGUGUAUGAAGAAGGCCUUCGGGUUGUAAAGUACUUUCAGACGGGAGGCGGUACCGGCAGAAGAAGCACCGGCUAACUCCGUGCCAGCAGCCGCGGUAAUUC
RNAcentral lists this ribosomal RNA (406 nucleotides) under uncultured bacterium. RNAcentral's name for it is "partial 16S ribosomal RNA". It matches the Rfam family "Bacterial small subunit ribosomal RNA", at positions 30 to 526 of the family's 1533-position model. The record is from RNAcentral.